This 277-nucleotide unclassified non-coding RNA is filed under the name Brucella sp. 191011898. RNAcentral's name for it is "BASRCI408". The record is from RNAcentral. Lineage: Bacteria; Pseudomonadati; Pseudomonadota; Alphaproteobacteria; Hyphomicrobiales; Brucellaceae.
ACAGAAGCUAUAGCUGUAUCGUGGCUUAAGUUAUGGUUUUUAUGUAAGGAUUGCGCUUUGCGGGUCAUGGUCCUGCAGCUAUCGAAAGACCGUUUCAGCCCAUCCAAUUCCGCCUGCAACGAAAAGGGAGCCCGGAACCGGCGAAUAGCCCGGCAAAACGAAUCGCUUCCGCCGGAUUGAGUCGCCGGGAUAUUAGAGCGCAUCCCGAAAGGCGUGAAACGGUUUUCGGAAAAGAUGCGCGUCAAAACAAAUAGUUAGAGCGCCGAUCUGAUUCAAU